GUUAAGUGACUAAGCGUAUACGGUGGAUGCCUAGGCAGUUAGAGGCGAUGAAGGACGUGUAAGUCUGCGAAAAGCUGUGGUGAGUUGACAAAACGCAUUUAGCCACAGAUGUCCGAAUGGGGAAACCCAGUGCAUUUAUGCACUAUCUGCAACUGAAUACAUAGGUUGUAGAGGCAAACGAGGGGAACUGAAACAUCUAAGUACCCUUAGGAAAAGAAAUCAACCGAGAUUUCCCUAGUAGCGGCGAGCGAACGGGAAUUAGCCCUUAAGCUAAUUGUAAGCCAGUGGAAUGUGUUGGAAAGCACAACGGUACAAGGUGAUAGUCCUGUACACAAAGGCGAACUUUAAGUGAAAUCGAGUAGGUCGGGACACGUGUUAUCUUGACUGAAUAUGGGGGGACCAUCCUCCAAGGCUAAAUACUCCUAACUGACCGAUAGUGAACCAGUACCGUGAGGGAAAGGCGAAAAGAACCCCUGUGAGGGGAGUGAAAUAGAACCUGAAACCGUAUACGUACAAGCAGUGGGAGCAGACUUGUUCUGUGACUGCGUACCUUUUGUAUAAUGGGUCAGCGACUUAUAUUUUGUAGCGAGGUUAACCGAAUAGGGGAGCCGUAGUGAAAGCGAGCGUUAACUGCGCGUCUAGUUGCAAGGUAUAGACCCGAAACCCGGUGAUCUAGCCAUGGGCAGGUUGAAGGUUGAGUAACAUCAACUGGAGGACCGAACCCACUGACGUUGAAAAGUCAGGGGAUGACCUGUGGCUGGGGGUGAAAGGCCAAUCAAACCGGGAGAUAGCUGGUUCUCCCCGAAAGCUAUUUAGGUAGCGCCUCGGACGAACACCAUGGGGGGUAGAGCACUGUUAAGGCUAGGGGGUCAUCCCGACUUACCAACCCUUUGCAAACUCCGAAUACCCAUGAGUGCUAUCCGGGAGACACACGGCGGGUGCUAACGUCCGUCGUGGAGAGGGAAACAACCCUGACCACCAAUUAAGGUCCCCAAAUAAUGGCUAAGUGUGAAAGGAUGUGGGAUUGCUUUGACAAUGAGGAGGUUGGCUUAGAAGCAGCCAUCCUUUAAAGAUAGCGUAACAGCUCACUGGUCUAAAUAAGUUGUCCUGCGGCGAAGAUGUAACGGGGCUCAAGCCAUGAGCCGAAGCUUAGGAUGCACA
RNAcentral lists this ribosomal RNA (1161 nucleotides) under Mesodinium pulex. RNAcentral's name for it is "partial Bacterial large subunit ribosomal RNA". It matches the Rfam family "Bacterial large subunit ribosomal RNA", at positions 1 to 1212 of the family's 2925-position model. The record is from RNAcentral. Lineage: Eukaryota; Ciliophora; Litostomatea; Cyclotrichida; Mesodiniidae.